This 107-nucleotide small nuclear RNA is filed under the name Fusarium fujikuroi. RNAcentral also lists the same sequence under 1 other name. Lineage: Eukaryota; Fungi; Ascomycota; Sordariomycetes; Hypocreales; Nectriaceae. The record is from RNAcentral.
CAGUUCGACUUAUACUAAUACCUCAGCAGUGAAACGAUACAGAGAAGAUUAGCAUGGCCCCUGCACUAAGGAUGACACGCUCAAUCAAAGAGAAGCUACCAAUUUUU